RNAcentral lists this ribosomal RNA (468 nucleotides) under uncultured bacterium. RNAcentral describes it as "partial 16S ribosomal RNA". It matches the Rfam family "Bacterial small subunit ribosomal RNA", at positions 28 to 507 of the family's 1533-position model. The record is from RNAcentral.
GACGAACGCUGGCGGCGUGCUUAACACAUGCAAGUCGAACGGAAAGGCCCUGCUUUUGUGGGGUGCUCGAGUGGCGAACGGGUGAGUAACACGUGAGUAACCUGCUCUUGACUUUGGGAUAACUUCAGGAAACUGGGGCUAAUACAGGAUAGGAGCUCCUGCUGCAUGGUGGGGGUUGGAAAGUUUCGGCGGUUGGGGAUGGACUCGCGGCUUAUCAGCUUGUUGGUGGGGUAGUGGCUUACCAAGGCUUUGACGGGUAGCCGGCCUGAGAGGGUGACCGGCCACAUUGGGACUGAGGGACGGCCCAGACUCCUACGGGAGGCAGCAGUGGGGAAUAUUGCACAAUGGGCGGAAGCCGGAUGCAACAACGCCGCGUGCGGGAUGACGGCCUUCUGGUUGUAAACCGCUUUCGCCUGUGACGAAGCGUGAGUGACGGUAAUGGGUAAAGAAGCACCGGCUAACUACGUG